AAAAUCGUCUCGCUGCUGCCUUUAGUCCUCAGAAGAUAACAGACGCUUUGUUUGAGGUGUAUUGUAUAAGUGGAAGCGAGUAUAAACUCACAGAGGCACCAGAAAGUGUUUUUCAAAGAUGUUCAGAUCAGCGCCCCGGAUAUGUUGAUUGUCGUAAAUGUGACGAUGCAAAAACCUACUAUGCAUAUUCGCAUUGUAAAAAAGAGCGUUGCAAUAAUCAAACAGCAGCAUGUCAGUUUAGUUUUACACAGAACGAUAAAGGCCUUUCGAUAAGUUCCUUCUGUGGAGAAGUCGAGACGUGCUAUGAGGAGAAGGUGAACACACAUGCCAGUUGCGAGAAAGAUGCAUCUAACGUCAGCUGUGUUUUCUGUUGCUUGGA
This is a long non-coding RNA of Physella acuta, 379 nucleotides long. RefSeq lists it as uncharacterized. NCBI's taxonomy places the organism in Eukaryota, Metazoa, Mollusca, Gastropoda, Physidae. The record is from RefSeq and is a predicted model, not a curated record.